CGGUCCUAAGGUAGCGAAAUUCCUUGUCGGGUAAGUUCCGACCUGCACGAAUGGCGUAACGACUUCCACGCUGUCUCGACCAGGGACUCGGCGAAAUCGACAUGGGGGUGAAGAUGCCCUCUACCCGCGGCCAGACGGAAAGACCCUGUGAACCUUUACUCUAACUUGUCAGUGGCAUUCGGUCCAUUCUGUGUAGGAUAGGUGGGAGCCUAUGAAGCCGGCACGCCAGUGUCGGUGGAGGCACCGUUGAAAUACCACCCUGGAUGUUCUGGAUGCCUAACCACUUCGGUGGGACAUUGACUGGUGGGGAGUUUGACUGGGGCGGUCGCCUCCCAAAAUGUAACGGAGGCGCGCAAAGGUUCUCUCAGCCUGAUCGGAAACCAGGCGUAGAGUGCAAAGGCAUAAGAGAGCUUGACUGCGAGACUGACAGGUCAAGCAGGUGGGAAACCAGGCCUUAGUGAUCCGGUGGUUCCAAAUGGAAGGGCCAUCGCUCAACGGAUAAAAGGUACUCCGGGGAUAACAGGCUGAUAGCGCCCAAGAGUUCAUAUCGACGGCGGUGUUUGGCACCUCGAUGUCGGCUCAUCACAUCCUGGGGCUGAAGUCGGUCCCAAGGGUAUGGCUGUUCGCCAUUUAAAGUGGUACGCGAGCUGGGUUUAGAACGUCGUGAGACAGUUCGGUCCCUAUCUGCCGUGGGCGCUGGAGAACUGAGGGGGGCUGCUCCUAGUACGAGAGGAU
Molecule: ribosomal RNA, 735 nt
Filed under: Ochromonas sp. CCMP1393
Lineage: Eukaryota; Chrysophyceae; Chromulinales; Chromulinaceae
Description: partial Bacterial large subunit ribosomal RNA
Rfam family: Bacterial large subunit ribosomal RNA
Source: RNAcentral